GCUCCGGUGGCGCAAUUGGUUAGUGCAUGGUACUGAUGAUACUGAGGUUGUGAGUUCAAGUCUCACCCGGAGCA
RNAcentral lists this transfer RNA (74 nucleotides) under Otolemur garnettii (small-eared galago). Its description in RNAcentral is "tRNA-Ile (GAT) (tRNA-Ile-GAT-5-1)". It matches the Rfam family "tRNA". Rfam says of the family: Transfer RNA (tRNA) molecules are approximately 80 nucleotides in length. Lineage: Eukaryota; Metazoa; Chordata; Mammalia; Primates; Galagidae. The record is from RNAcentral.